RNAcentral lists this unclassified non-coding RNA (715 nucleotides) under Hevea brasiliensis (rubber tree). Lineage: Eukaryota; Viridiplantae; Streptophyta; Magnoliopsida; Malpighiales; Euphorbiaceae. The record is from RNAcentral.
GAGUCAAACUUCUUCCAGUACCCUUAAUGGCAUAAAUCCAAAAUAAGCGACCAGAUUAUAUAAGCCAGUUAGAGCCUUAAAUCUUAAUAGACAGCUGAGAAUUUACAUCGUCCUGUUUCAUUUACAGAGAUAAAUUCUGCUGCUCUUGGUGGGAUCCAAACGUGUUCUCCCCACUGUAGGUCAUGUAAAGAAAACCAUCUCAUCCUUGCUAUCCUCAUAGAUUGCGGACAUCAAUGCAGCAGUUGGAGGUAAAGUAUUAUUCACAAACACAAAUAUAGCCUUUUCAGCACUGAGAUUAAUCCUUUUCCGGACAACAUAGACAAACUGUCCCACAGUCAAAUCAGCUGGCACAAGAUACUUCUUCUUAUCAAUAUCAGGAACAUCACUCCUUUCAGCCUUCUCCACAAUUACAGGUAUUCUGUCAUGAUACUUCUCCAUGAUGCGAGCAGCUUCUGCUUGCCUCCUCUCCAAUGGAUGUUCCAUCUUGAAUGAGCUUUUAGCCAUGGACACAGCCGACCUUCAAUUACAGUUCUCCAACACGAAACGAGAGAAAUGGAUGGGGAAAAUUAGGGUUCCAAAGAGAACCGAUUGAUUGAUCCAAUCGAAGGUUAUGAAAAGAAGGACCCAAAUUUUCAAUAUCAGAGAGAAUUAUUGGGCAUUCCAAAAGAAAAAUAUUAUCUUCAAUUUAAUAGAGAUGAAACUUAUUAGGGUUUAA